RNAcentral lists this long non-coding RNA (4779 nucleotides) under Gallus gallus (chicken). The record is from RNAcentral. Lineage: Eukaryota; Metazoa; Chordata; Aves; Galliformes; Phasianidae.
CACGCAGCUCCUUAUUCCAGGAUGAGGUGCUGCUGUGAGUCAGGGAACGGUUCCAGCCCAGGCCAUCACAGAAGGAGCUGCUCCACUCCCACAGAGGGCAGGCACCAAGAAGCUGAUUGCAUAUGGAAUCCACCAAAUCGUUACCCGUCCUCACGGAAAGCAAAACGCAAAUCACAAACGCAAUCAGUCCGCACCUGGAAGGCUCCCCACUGUACAGCCUUCAUCACAACAGGUCAGGCGACCGCUUCACGGAUGUACUACGGCCUCCCACCGCUCCUUGAUGCUGAAUUCGCUCUUAGUCGUACAGAAGAUUAAAGGAUGAUGAAAAGCCAUUCAAGUUUUUCAGCCUCUUCGGGACAUCUCGUCACCAGCACUGAUAGCAAAAAGGCAGAAGUAUUUUUCAGCAUUGCAAGCCUCAGCCAACCUUCAGCCCAAAAAGCGUGACGUGGAACUGAGCGCCGUGCAGGACUGCAGAGCGCCGUGGAGAGACUCCGAAGAGCAGCAGCUCAAUGUGCAGAACACAGGCGGGAGGAAACAGGAAACCAUUCCCACAGCUGCAGCACUUGCUGUAUUCUGGUGGUAUUGCUUGGUUUCUGCAGUCCAGGUUCUCUAACCUCGUUCUAGUAAACAGUGAGGAAGGAGGAUAUAAGGGCUAUCUAUACCUGUGAUAUGACUUAGGCAGCUGUUGCAGGAGCUGAACAGAUUCCUAAAUAAGCCAUGUAGUAAGGACCACAACUGUAACUUGCCAAGGGCUGUAGGAAUGGGAGAACUUUGCCUGACUUUACAAGUGCUCUAGGAGACAUUUUGCCAAUCAUGAAUCAAAUUUCCCAUUGCCUUUUCUGUUUGCUUUUUCUUUGUUGUUUGGUUUUCCUUUCUAUGCCUUGUUGAGCUUUUUACAUUCCUAUUCUUAAUGGACUCCUGUGUACAAAAAGCAUAUUCCACUCCUUUCACCAGACCGUAGUAAACUCUGAGACAACUUUCCUUAUAAAUGCAAGAAAUAUUUCAUAUAUAUAUAUAUUUGUAUGUUAAAGCCAAUGUAGAGUAGCGAGAACAUAAAAAGUCUGACAGGAAAAGAGUGUAUGCUCAGCAGGAGCUUCACCUGGGCGCUUUGUUCACGUCAGUUUGCUGGAGACUUAGUGAUAUGGUUUCCCUAGAUGCAUGCAAAUAAAAUCUGUGAAGUCUUCGUUUGCUCUAACAAGAUCAAGUAUUUAGGGUUAGACUCUACUGCUGCUUUAAAAUUGAUAGUUUGAAUUAACUAUCAUUCUGCAGUGCCAAAUGAUGUGCAAGGAAGUUUUAAUUAUCAGCUUCACCCUUAGAAUAUUUGUAAUACACUAACAUACAUUUCUGUCCCUCCACUUUUUAUUACAAGUGAGAUUUAUUAAUUCCUUUUACAAGCUUGGGUGAUCCUUACAUCCCAAACCAUGCUGUAUUAACUUCUCUCCUCCUUAUGGUGGGGGCUUCAUCCCUUCCAACUUUUUUAACAAAUAAUUCACUUCUUUACAACUGACGGUCCUUUUCAGCCACAGAAACUGAAUGCUGAAAUAGGAAAUGUUUUCCAGUCUGCUGUUAAACAAAGAGAACUCUUCAUAAUGCAGACCAAAAAAGUCUGUCGAUAUGUGUAAUAGCUUUAUCCUCAAGAGGAGUGGAUUUGGGCGGCUUUGUUGCUGGCAGCUCUGGUGGGCACUGUCAAGAUUUAUAAAGAGGGACAUUUACAAGACGGAAGAUGCAGUGUUCUUCCAAGGCUGUUAGAACAAAAUAGAUCUGAAUCCCAUACAAAACAAAUGAACCGAAUAAUUUUAAUUAAUCAAAUCCUAUUUUUUUUUCUCUCAGUGUAAUCAUAUCUUUAAUCUUGAAUGCAUUGCUGUUAAAUAAGAAAUGUAGCAAAAUAUUCACCUCUUUUUUCAUUCUCUUGCGCAAACAAUGUAAUAUAGAUCUGUUAAAUCUGAAAGAAAAGGAUUUGCUCAUAUUUCAGUCACAGCAGUCAACCCACACGUUUGAAAAUGUGUAAUGAAGUAAGGGCAUAGUAAGAAAUCUUUUCUCCCUCUGUCCUAAAGAUAACUGCAUAUGUACUGGAACUUGAGUAAGCUCAAAAAACAUGAAUGCUGAUAAAUAAUCUAUAACUUCCCUUGCUUCCAGGGAGAAAUGGCCUUCGCCUGCAAAUCUCUGGAUUUGGCAACUAUACCUAAUUCAUUUUAAACUCCCACUGACAUCAGCAAAAAUUACCCAAUUAGGGAUGCAGGAUCGGAUCUAAGAUGGUAGCAUAUUAAAAUGCUAUUAUAAAUUCAAAAGAUGCUACACAAAGUAUAAAGCAUUCAAGGCAGUUGAACAGUUCUCAGCGUGCAUAUUCAAAAUGCUAAACAAUAGCAGCUAUUGCAUGUGUGACCAUCAGGAAACACAGCUGUGCUUCUUUGUGUUACAAUUAAUUACUUCCGUUGUAUAUAAAAUUGAAAGUAUUGGUACUCUGGGGCGGAAGAAGGAUAUCCUGAUACACUGCUCCUAUUUCCUUAGGAAGGACUAUGACUGAACCUUUCACCAUUAAUAAAGUUGCAAUGACUUUUCCUGCGAUGAAUAAAGGAAGGGUAAAUUUUGUGGUUAAUUAUAAUGCUAAUGGUACUUUUUCUCUGCAUUUUUACACUCCUACAUUUAUAUCUCAUUUUAGUGUUUUCGCAUGCCAUCUUUGAUAACAAUUGCUCACUUCUAAGUAGUUGAACUUAAUGAAAAGUCUAAAGUAAAUAUUUGGCUUAAAGAUUGUUCUAUUUUUUUUUUUUUUUUUAAUGAUAUUGGAUCAGAGGAAAGCAUAAAACUUCACCACUGUUCUUUAGCAGGCCGAGUAAAAUCUUCUUACCUUAGACAACAGACAACAGCUUCUGUGACUGUUCAGGAAACCAGUGAAGCCUCCAUCAGCCAACAGCAACUGGCAGAAUUUAAGAUUCACAAUUAGGGGAAAAAGCAACGCCAAAGCCCAUAGUCUGGAAAUCACCAUUUUCUUCAGAGCAAAUCAUAGUCUCUCUCCUAUUAAGAACCUCUUAACGCAACACUUGUCAAGCUGUAUUGCACCGUGUGUUUCUCUAAUGAACUUUGCUCUGUUCACUUUUUGCACCCUAUUAUCUGGCAGAGUGUUAUACCUCUAGCGCUUCCCCUUCGUACCGCUCAGCUCCCCAGGGAUCACGGUACAACUGUCUAGUGCAAAGUUCAAAGGUCAGCACAGGCAAUCUGGAAAAAGAGCAGUUGAAAACUAACAGCAAUCCGUGGACGUUCUGUUCAUUCUUCUGAAUUGUGUUUUGCCUUACGCACGCUGUAAACAAAUCAGGGCUGUAAAAUAAAAUCAAAGUUCACACGUUUGCAGUUCUUGAUACUGUACUUUGUAAGCCAUCUAAAGCCAAGUUUGUCCAUUUAUUAUCUAAAUCCUUAAUUAUGUUUAUUAUCUAACUUCUUAAUUAUGUUUAAUAUAAUUAGUUGUAUCUUUAAAAAUACUGCAUGCCUGAGGGGUGUGGAUUAGGAAUGCACAAAAUGGCUGUUUUAAUAAGUCACGCUGCUAUACGAAGAUACUCUUUCAUUUGGAAGUACUUUUUUGGCACUAGAGUUCAAUGAGAGCAUUUAAAACACUUUGUAUAUUAAAGUCACUUCUGCUAAGAAACGGAGCAACACCCACCAGAACCCACGCAAUCAAACUUCGUUCACAGAUUCAUCCACGUAACCCAAGACAGAAUUUACCUAUUCCUUGUAAACUUGCUAUAAACAGCAUUUGUUGACACGAUAAGGUCUCUGAGUAUACAAGUCUUGCUAAGUUACAACAUGUACUGUUAGCACACUACAUCUCUUGAGCGUACUAACGUUUAAAACAGCACAAUUCAGUUAAUGAAACAUUCAAGACUGAUACGCAGUGAGGUUGAAACCAAUGCUUUUAAUUUUAUUUUCAGGUUCGAAGUAGAGAAUACAAGCUUGUGUAUGCUGUCAGCUGUUCACAUGCCAUAUUAACAAAUAUGUCUGAAUCGUAAAGCUUUAAAUGUAUUUGUACAUUCGUUUUAUUACUAGACUGUUUUAUCCAUGUUGGCACAGGUAAUCCAUGCAAGGUACAGUUACUCACACCUCAUAAACCAUGCUGCAUUCUGAUCUGAACUAAGAACUUCAGAAAAAUAUGUAUCUAAAAGCAAGGGCACUUGUGGCAUCAAGUCAACAUGUAAAUAUAUUAUAAAACCUAGACUUCUAUGAUCACCGCAGACAAGAAAUCACUCAGUUUCAAAUUCGGAUGUUUGUAAAUGCUAAACAACUUAAUAUCUGCUACCUGGAGACAAGUAUUACAAAUAAACAUCAGCAUACCCAGCAUUAGACACUAAUGAGUGUGUUCAGUGCUGUGGAUGUUCACAUUAUUAAACAUAAAUAUGUCUUUAAGGAAACAUUUCACCCAAAGUACUGACCACUGAAGGACCAAAGUAAAAUACUUUUUCCUCGUUUAAAAUUGCAAUGUGUGAAUGCAGUGCAGUACAAAUUAACUUAGAAAAAAUAAGUCAGGUCGAUGGUUUUCUUUUCAGAUAAUAAAAGCAAAGCCUUCUUUGGUAAUCUUUACUCCCUUAUGCAAAAAGAGCAGAAAAAGAGAAAAAGCAUUAAGGUCAUUUUUGAAGCCUUUGGCUGAAAAGAUGCUGAACACCUUAUUAGAUAAAAUACCGGUAUUCCUAUUUGGUCAUUCAGAGGUACAGGAUCUUUGUUUUAUUACGUAAAGUCCCACGUUAAUUAAUAUAAAUAUUUAGGAACUUAUGACUUAUCCCAGGCAUCUGUUAC